This 707-nucleotide ribosomal RNA is filed under the name uncultured Enterobacteriaceae bacterium. RNAcentral describes it as "bacterial SSU rRNA". It matches the Rfam family "Bacterial small subunit ribosomal RNA", at positions 794 to 1502 of the family's 1533-position model. Lineage: Bacteria; Pseudomonadati; Pseudomonadota; Gammaproteobacteria; Enterobacterales; Enterobacteriaceae. The record is from RNAcentral.
UCCACGCUGUAAACGAUGUCGAUUUGGAGUUUGUUGCCUAGAGUGAUGGGCUCCGAAGCUAACGCGAUAAAUCGACCGCUGGGGAGUACGGCCGCAAGGUUAAAACUCAAAUGAAUUGACGGGGGCCCGCACAAGCGGUGGAGCAUGUGGUUUAAUUCGAUGCAACGCGAAGAACCUUACCUGGUCUUGACAUCCAUAGAAUUCUGCAGAGAUGUGGGAGUGCCUUCGGGAACUAUGAGACAGGUGCUGCAUGGCUGUCGUCAGCUCGUGUUGUGAAAUGUUGGGUUAAGUCCCGCAACGAGCGCAACCCUUAUUCUUUGUUGCCAGCGAUUUGGUCGGGAACUCAAAGGAGACUGCCGUUGAUAAAGCGGAGGAAGGUGGGGACGACGUCAAGUCAUCAUGGCCCUUACGACCAGGGCUACACACGUGCUACAAUGGCGUAUACAAAGGGAAGCGAAGGUGCGAGCUGGAGCGGAUCUCAUAAAGUACGUCUAAGUUCGGAUUGGAGUCUGCAACUCGACUCCAUGAAGUCGGAAUCGCUAGUAAUCGUAGAUCAGAAUGCUACGGUGAAUACGUUCCCGGGCCUUGUACACACCGCCCGUCACACCAUGGGAGCGGGUUGCACCAGAAGUAGAUAGCUUAACUGCGAGGGGGGCGUUUACCACGGUGUGAUUCAUGACUGGGGUGAAGUCGUAACAAGGUAACCA